AUUUACUAAACAUGUCAUAACAUUUGUUAUCCACAUUACAGUUUUUUAUACUUUGUUUUUUCAUACCAGGGUCAAAAAGUUCCUAUAGUGAGUCCUUUUGGAUUACCAGUAGCUUAUUAUGGGUACCAUCAACCUAAUAUUAACAUAUACCAGCAAAAUUCCUUGAGCAUCAGAUCUCAGGGUAGCUUUCUUACUAGCGGGAGUUAUUUUGGAGUACCUGGUGGAAGUUGGGUAGCUGGCACCAGUGGAUCCAUGAAUGCACACCAUCUGCCUCUUAUGGGUGCCAAACAGGCAUCAACUGGUAACAACAAAAUUAUUCGAGGACCAGCGCCUGCCUAAGUUUGGAGGGCAGCGGGUUCGAUGUCAAUGUUAGCUGCAUUGCUGUUUGAAGGGCAGAAUAGUUGUUUUGUGCUAUGAAUGUAUGGGGGAUUUCUUGGAUGCAGAAUAUGAGAUAUUGUACUAUGGAUGUAUGGGGUCUUUUUGUUGUAUGCAAGUCUACUCACCUUUUGCGCAUGUUGGAUUUGUUGAAUGCGAGGAUAGCCCUUUUCCAUCAUUUCUUGUUGUAAGAUGUGGAGCUUACUAUUGGUCUUGUGCUAGGGUUUGUAAGGCUAUUCCACUUUCGUUCAGAGGUGGUGUUUUUUUGGUGUGUUCGAGUUUGCCCAUUGUUGGUUAGAUUGUGAUAGUUUGUGUGGCAGUUUUGUCGAAGCUGUCUGAGUGCUUAGACCUCUCGCCUAUUGUCUUAUUUUGUUUGUUUAUAUUAUUUUUGUAUACCUCUCUUCCAUAUAAUAGGCAUGGUUUCCUAUUAUUUUUGUACAGUCUGCCUAAAUAGACGUACAGGCUAUUUUUUGUGUGUAAAGAAUGUUAUGCAGGAAAGGAAAUAGAGGAAAAGGGAAAAAAACAAAGGAAAAUUUAGUUAUCACUCACUUGGUAGGUGUAUGUUAUGAUUCUUUUGAGUAUGUUGUGGGCUUGGUUUCA
This is a long non-coding RNA of Magnolia sinica, 975 nucleotides long. RefSeq lists it as uncharacterized. NCBI's taxonomy places the organism in Eukaryota, Viridiplantae, Streptophyta, Magnoliopsida, Magnoliales, Magnoliaceae. The record is from RefSeq and is a predicted model, not a curated record. The transcript is spliced from 3 exons.